ACCUUCUCAGUCAGUAGAGCAUGAGAUUCUUAAUCUCAGGGUUGUGGGUUUGAGCCCCACAUUGGGCA
Molecule: non-coding RNA, 68 nt
Organism: Podarcis lilfordi (Lilford's wall lizard)
Lineage: Eukaryota; Metazoa; Chordata; Lepidosauria; Squamata; Lacertidae
Source: the annotation of a GenBank genome assembly